UUUUUUUUUUUUUUUUUUUAAACCAGGAGAAAUAACUUUAUUUGGACUGAGAGCUGGAGAAUGAGAAUAGGACCUGACAUAGCAUACUGGGCUAAGGAGGAGAGGUAAGGUUCCAAAACGGCAGUCAAAGCUCAUCGACCAAACAGACUCUACUUCCCAGCAACCUUGCAGUUAGUGCAACCAACAAAAGGCCUGCUGGGGAAUGUAUUUUCCACUAAAUUCCCCAAGUAUGCCAACAUUACAAAAAAGAUAGAGGUUUUUCAUCAUAAUUAAAUUUCCACAAUCCUCCCCAAUCACGAGGAUUAUAAGCAGAAGUAAAAAAUCACAUUUUACAGAUCUCAAACUUGUCUUCAACAUUAGUUCAUCAUCUUCAAAAAACAGCUCCCCUGCUAAACUCAUUAGCUAUAUGAUCUAUCCAAGCUAUAUCCUCUUCCCAUUUUCCCUAUCCACUCAGGGCUCAACAGCAGGGUGAAGCUCAGGCGGGGGUAGGGGGUGGGGAGCAAAAGGGCUACUUUCCCCCAGUACAACAUGGCAUCUGAAGCUUGAUAGGAGAGCAGAACUGGUGAGACUUGAGGGAAGGAUCCAGGGCGUGUAUUCAGUCAGAAUCACUGCUAGAAGAGGAAGAGGAAUGCUUGCUAUGCUUGUGCAUCUUUUUAUGAGCUUUCUUCAUUUUCUUCUGUAUCUUCUUGUCCACUAUCACUGCUGGUCCGACCAUGCUAGGAGCCAAGGGAUUCACAGGAGGCAUUCCAGGAGCAGACGGUGGGUAUGGAGGAGGGUAGGGACCCGAGGAUUGGCAUCCUGUAUACCCUGGCUGUGGCACAGGAUGAGGGGGCCAACCUGGGGGGAAAGCUGAGUUGCCCUGCGGAGCUCCUGGGGGAGGAGGACAGGGGCCUAGGUUGAUAGGUGGUGAGUGGGCAGGACUGGAACCUCCAGGGCACCCAAUGUUGGGUGGAUAUGGAUUUGGCCCUGGCUGCCUGGCACUGGGAUUCUACAUGUUUAGGUGUGUCCUCCAGCCUUUCCACCGCUGCCUGGGCUUGAUGCAUUCUCAAGAGCUUCUUAACUAGUUUCACCUCCUGUCUGCUCUCUCAUCUUCAUCAUGCAAAAAUUAGACUUUCCGUGUUACCUCUGCCUUACUCAAGUAGUCAAAGUGGUCCACAGUCUACUAGGCUUAGCUCUGAGACUAGAGGCCAGAGUAAUGGCAAGGAAUCCACUAAAUGUACCAAACAUUGCAGAUAGCGUGUAAAACAGUUCAAACAUACAUAUGAUGACAACUACUUAUUUGUCAAAGUUAUAUAUGUGUCACUUAAUAGAAUACAAAUUCAUUCCCAAGUAUCAUGGAAUUUACAGGAACAUUCUGACACAUCCUGAACAGGCCAACCUCAUCGCCUACUACCACCCAACAGAAACCCUCUGCUCCUGACAAGUUAAUCUCCUUACCUACACACAUAAAAGUUUCACACUAACCUUCAACCCUACUACUCUCUUUCUCCUAGCCUGGAAUACCCUUCCCUUCUCUCUACUUAUCCAAACCUUACUUAUCUGGCAAAGCACAAUGGCUCAUGCCUGUAAUUCCAGCACUUGGGGAGGCCAAGGCAGGAAGACGCUUGAGCCCAGGACUUCAAGACACCCUGGCCCCUUCUCUACAAAAAAAAAAUAAUUAGCUGGGCAUGAUGGCAGACACCUGUAGUCCCAGCUACUUGACGGGGCUGAGGUGGGAAGAUCGCAUGAGCCCAGGUAGCUGAGGCUGCAGCAAGCUAUGAUCAUGCCACUGCACUCCAGGAUAGGUGACACAGCAAGGCCCUGUCUCAAGCCACUAAAAACAGGCCUUACUUCACCAUGAAGUGAAGGCACGCCUUCACAUCUCUUCCCUGUCUUCCUAUAGAUUUGUGAUCUAUAGAUGUUAUGGGACAGCAUCAUAAGAAUAACUGUGUUGAAUGUUUUGUUGUAAUGAUAAGAUAAAAAAGAGCACUUUGGAAGUUUCAAGGUUUUAUUUUUUGAAUAGCUUUAGGUAAAAGUCAUGAAUAAUACAACUGGCUGCUACCUCAAAUGAGAUGUCAAUUUUUAGGGAUGCCCUAUCUGGAAAACACUUUUUCAGGAAACCCAGACCUUGGAAUAUUGUCACCCUCAGUAGUAGAGUCUUCAAAACAAUCUUUCUUUUAUUCAGAGCUGAUUUAUACAUUAACAACGAUUCAUUUCUGAGUUUUUGAAGUUAUAUGAAGUUACCUGGCUCCAGCGUAUGUAAGCUGGAAAAAUACCCAAAUACAUAAGGCUGACAGAGCCAAAUUAGACUGUUGGAGACAUUUUAAAUUAUUCGAAAAUACAUUAACAUUUUCUACUACACACUCUUAGAAGUUCUCCUUAGCCAUCACUGGUGGUGGAACACACCUGUGUGAGCUACAGACAAACUUGUUAGGAUCACUUCAGGUUUAUCAGCUUUAAAAUCAUUUAAAGAACAAUUCCAGGCCAACACGGAAUCAAAGUAUUUAGUUUCUAUGUACAGUUUUUUCCUUAAAACAAUAUUUAAAGCCGUGAGAUUCUGCAAUUAUAGAGGCAGUAGGAAUAAAGAGAAUACAAAAACCAAAAAAAAGCCGUGAGAAAUGUCAGGAUGAUGUAGUGGGGAAAUAAACUUUAGAAUGAGUGACCUUAGCUGUAACUAAGUAACUGCUAAUAAUUUAGCCCCCACUUCAUAUCCAAGCAUUACUCUAAAUCUUUUAAGUGAAUUAUUUCGUUUAACCUACGCACCACCUAUUAAGUAGAUAUUAUUAUCCCCAUUUCACAGUUCAGACACUGAGCUUUUUUUGAAAGUUACCAAGUCCAAGGGUUACAAGUAAACAGGGCAGGGACUCAAACCCAGGUGUACUGCCACCUGGAAGUAUUAAGUCCCUGCUCCUAACUACUACUUCAUUGAUCUGGCUUUAUGACUUUAUAAGUCAUAUACCCACCCUGGGCCUCAGUUUCUUCAUCUGUAAAAACAACGCAACGAAUGCUACAGUACAGCUCCUUCCAGCUCUGCCUAGCGUCGUUAUCAUCAACCUUACAAUCUACCUGAGCGUCAACAAGCCAGUGUCAUCCCUUCUUUUAAGUGAAUUCUACUCAAACAGCAUUUACAACGCACCUACUAGGCGUCUGGCCUUGUGCUGCGCGAGCGCCCAAGCCCAACUCCCCCACGGUCUCGGCUCCCGCCGCGGCGCCAGCAGGCCCCCUUUCCCCCCAACUCUCCGAGACCAGCGGUGGUCCUUUUCCCCUCCCGACACACAGAAGCCUCAGGCCACCCCCGGCUCUGCUCCCCGGGCCCACUCACCCUUCUGGUGGUCUCCGCUGCCAGGCACUGCGGGACCCCGCGUCCCCGCUGCCCCGUCCCCCACGGGGGUCGUGUGGUGAGCACCCAUCUGCGAUCGUUCGGGGACUCUGCCUUUCGCCAUGGCUGCUGCAAGGUGAAGGGAGCGGUGCGGUGCCGCGCCCCCUAAACAACAAAACUCUGUCGCAGGCUCCUUACUACGCCGAAGUGCCACAGCCAGAGCCACUUCCGGCGCGACCUCCUCACCCGAGACGACCUUAGUCCAGCGAGCACAGCAACGCCCUGCAAACACCGGCAGCUCCCACCACAGGCUAAACCCCGCCCCGUGCCGCCCCCGAGCCUCGCGCGCUCGCGCCGGCCCAGUAACCGCGAGACAAGUCAGGGUCCUGGACCGCCCCCUUCAGUGCCCCGCCCCGCCCGCGAGAAAGAGGGCGCCGGGGCGGGAGCAUGCGGAGUCGCGGCACCCGAGUCACGCGGCUCCGACUCGCUGGCCCUGGCGUCUAAAGCGUAGCCUUAAUUACCCGGAAGUGCGGUCCCAGGGACUUCAAACCUUUUGUCCAGGCUACCGGAAGUGCCUGUGAUUAGUCGGCAUUUCGCGGCUGAGGCUGAUUCAACCCAUUACAUCAGUUCCGUAGCUGCUGUCUUCAAUUUGGAGGCGCCAGAGAGUGCUUGGUCUAAAGAUGGUGGGAAAUACAAAGGUUGAGCAAAACCUACCUGAAUUUCAGGAAACUAAGGCUCAGAGAGGGCUACGUACAACCUGUGACGAUCACAGGAUGGCAAAAAUGGGCUUAGAAUCCAGGUUGUCCUGUUCCCGAAGCUAACGGUUUUGCAUUAGCUGCUGCCCCUUACUACUAAACCCAAGUCAGCUCUACAUCUAGCUUAUCCGUAAGCUAAGCGGAAACAUGCCUUUUCCACAGGUACUUUUUCUGCUUCUACCCCUCAGAGCACAUUCAGCUUACUCACCGUGGUUACCUCUUGAAAGCAACUUGGAGGCCGGUCGCGGUGGCUCACGCCUGUAAUCCCAGCACUUUGGGAGGCCAAGGCGGGCGGAUCGUUUGAGGCCAGGAGUGUGAGGCCAGACUGGCCAAAAUGGUGAGAUGAGACCCCGUCUCUGCUAAAAAUACAAAAAUUAGCUGAACAUGGUGGCUUGUAAUCCCACCUACUCGAGAGCCUGAGUCAGGAGAAUCGCUUGAACCCCGGAGGCUGAGGUUGCGGUGAGAAAUUGCACCGCUGCACUCCAGCAUAGACGACAAAGCAAGACUCCGUCCCCCCCAAAAAAAAAAAUCCUGAUUGUUUCUAUUCAGCAAUUACAUUUCUAGGAAAUUAUUCCAUGAAAAUAAACAUAAAUAAUUCAUCUGUAUUAGUAUAACAGUGAAAAACUAAAAGCAAUAUAAAAAUCCAACACUAAAUAAAAAUGGUUAAGUAAAUUAUGGGAAACCCAUUCAAUUGAACUGUUAUGUACACAUCGUUUGCCUACUUCUGGCUCCCACUUUAUUUCCUUCAUAGUCAUUAAAAGCAAUUCUGUGAA
Long non-coding RNA from Symphalangus syndactylus (siamang), 4826 nucleotides. RefSeq lists it as uncharacterized. The record is from RefSeq and is a predicted model, not a curated record. Lineage: Eukaryota; Metazoa; Chordata; Mammalia; Primates; Hylobatidae.